GGAAGGAUCAUUGAAUCUAAUCAAAUCCACACACGUGAACUAACCAUGUUGGCCAUCCGGGUCUCGCAUUCGGAUUGAGAUGGGUGUAGGUUGGAAAACCUGUGCCUGCCUCAGUCGCUGCAUUCAUGCAAAAUGGAUGCGGUGUCGGUCUCUGUAUCUAACCAACCAACACCAAACUUAAUUCAUACAUAAUGUCGAGGGAUCCGCUUAGAGCUGGCCCUCAUUAACCAAGACAACUCUCAACAACGGAUAUCUUGGCUCUCAGAUCGAUGAAGAACGCAGCGAAAUGCGAUACGUAGUGUGAAUUGCAGAAAUACGUGAAUCAUCGAAUCUUUGAACGCAAAUUGCGCUCAAGGCUUCGGCCAAGAGCAUGUCUGCCUCAGCGUCGGGUUAAUACUCAUGUGCACAUUCGCCACCAUGAAUGUGUGUGUGGAGCUGACUGUCUCGGUGCAGGCCUUCUGUCGGGAGGUGUGUGAGCCGGGUUAGUUGAAGUGCAGAUGUCAAAGCAUGGACCGUAAAUCGGGCCUCUACUGGGUAGGCAACUUGUUUGCUGAAAUGCUUUAGUAGAUGGCUUGGGUACUGUCUUUGGCACAAAACAGGAGUAUCUGUUCAAUCAGAUACAACCAAAUACCAUUUUCUCGACCUGAGCUCAGGCAAGAUU
This 661-nucleotide unclassified non-coding RNA is filed under the name Eudorina compacta. RNAcentral's name for it is "partial contains 18S rRNA, ITS1, 5.8S rRNA, ITS2 and 28S rRNA". The stretch from base 235 to 388 matches the Rfam family "5.8S ribosomal RNA". Lineage: Eukaryota; Viridiplantae; Chlorophyta; Chlorophyceae; Chlamydomonadales; Volvocaceae. The record is from RNAcentral.